AGUGAACGCUGGCGGUAGGCCUAACACAUGCAAGUCGAACGGCAGCACAGUAAGAGCUUGCUCUUACGGGUGGCGAGUGGCGGACGGGUGAGGAAUACAUCGGAAUCUACUUUUUCGUGGGGGAUAACGUAGGGAAACUUACGCUAAUACCGCAUACGACCUACGGGUGAAAGCAGGGGAUCUUCGGACCUUGCGCGAUUGAAUGAGCCGAUGUCGGAUUAGCUAGUUGGCGGGGUAAAGGCCCACCAAGGCGACGAUCCGUAGCUGGUCUGAGAGGAUGAUCAGCCACCCUGGAACUGAGACACGGUCCAGACUCCUAAGGGAGGCAGCAGUGGGGAAUAUUGGGCAAUGGGCGCAAGCCUGAUCCAGCCAUACCGCGUGGGUGAAGAAGGCCUUCGGGUUGUAAAGCCCUUUUGUUGGGAAAGAAAAGCAGCAGGUUAAUACCCCGCUGUUCUGACGGUACCCAAAGAAUAAGCACCGGCUAACUUCGUG
RNAcentral lists this ribosomal RNA (492 nucleotides) under uncultured bacterium. RNAcentral describes it as "partial 16S ribosomal RNA". It matches the Rfam family "Bacterial small subunit ribosomal RNA", at positions 29 to 507 of the family's 1533-position model. The record is from RNAcentral.